UAUAAUUUUUAACUCUUCGUCUUAUUCAAAUUUUUUUCGAUUGAUAUUUUUUUAUUAGAUGAUAAAUCAUGAAUAGUACUUUACGUGUGACUAAUUUUCUUCUAAUUUCCUAAAAAAUUUUAAAUAAAACAGAUGGUUAAACGUUGAACAUGAAAACCGAAG
This 162-nucleotide microRNA precursor is filed under the name Oryza brachyantha (malo sina). RNAcentral's name for it is "MIR812 microRNA precursor family". It matches the Rfam family "MIR812 microRNA precursor family", at positions 27 to 193 of the family's 205-position model. The record is from Rfam by way of RNAcentral. Lineage: Eukaryota; Viridiplantae; Streptophyta; Magnoliopsida; Poales; Poaceae.